AUGUCGGCUCAUCACAUCCUGGGGCUGAAGUCGGUCCCAAGGGUAUGGCUGUUCGCCAUUUAAAGUGGUACGCGAGCUGGGUUCAGAACGUCGUGAGACAGUUCGGUCCCUAUCUGCCGUGGGCGUUGGAUGAUUGAAGGGAGUUGCUCCUAGUACGAGAGGACCGGAGUGAACGAACCUCUGGUGUUCGGGUUGUCACGCCAGUGGCACUGCCCGGUAGCUAAGUUCGGAAUCGAUAACCGCUGAAAGCAUCUAAGCGGGAAGCGAGCCCUGAGAUGAGUCAUCCCUGACCCCUUGAGGGUCCUAAAGGGCCGUUGGAGACCACAACGUUGAUAGGUGGGGUGUGUAAGUGCAGUGAUGUGUUGAGCUAACCCAUACUAAUUACCCGUGAGGCUUAACCAUACAACACCCAAGAAGUGUUCUG
This 424-nucleotide ribosomal RNA is filed under the name Aeromonas salmonicida subsp. salmonicida. RNAcentral's name for it is "bacterial LSU rRNA". It matches the Rfam family "Bacterial large subunit ribosomal RNA", at positions 2529 to 2925 of the family's 2925-position model. The record is from RNAcentral. Lineage: Bacteria; Pseudomonadati; Pseudomonadota; Gammaproteobacteria; Aeromonadales; Aeromonadaceae.